GUGCCAGCCGCCGCGGUAAUACGUAGGGGGCGAGCGUUGUCCGAAGUUACUGGGCGUAAAGCGCGCGUAGGCGGACUUUUAAGUCGGUGGUGAAAUUCCAAGGCUCAACCUUGGAACUGCCUCCGAAACUGGAGGUCUUGAGGUAUGGAGAGGGAAGUGGAAUUCCUGGUGUAGCGGUGAAAUGCGUAGAUAUCAGGAGGAACACCCGUGGCGAAGGCGGCUUCCUGGCCAUAUCCUGACGCUGAGGUGCGAAAGCCAGGGGAGCGAACGGGAUUAGAUACCCCGGUAGUCCUGGUCGUAAACGAUGGAUACUAGGUGUUAGAGGUAUCGACCCCUCUAGUGCCGCAGCUAACGCAAUAAGUAUCCCGCCUGGGGAGUACGGCCGCAAGGUUGAAACUCAAAGAAAUUGACGG
RNAcentral lists this ribosomal RNA (413 nucleotides) under uncultured bacterium. RNAcentral describes it as "bacterial SSU rRNA". It matches the Rfam family "Bacterial small subunit ribosomal RNA", at positions 505 to 916 of the family's 1533-position model. The record is from RNAcentral.